UAAUGCCGGAUGCUCCAGUUGAUCGCAUGGUCUUCUGGGAAAGCCUUUGCGGCAUGGGAUGGGGUCGCGUCCUAUCAGCUUGAUGGCGGGGUAACGGCCCACCAUGGCUUCGACGGGUAGCCGGCCUGAGAGGGCGACCGGCCACAUUGGGACUGAGAUACGGCCCAGACUCCUACGGGAGGCAGCAGUGGGGAAUAUUGCACAAUGGGCGCAAGCCUGAUGCAGCGACGCCGCGUGAGGGAUGGAGGCCUUCGGGUUGUAAACCUCUUUUGUUAGGGAGCAAGGCAUUUUGUGUUGAGUGUACCUUUCGAAUAAGCACCGGCUAACUACGUGCCAGCAGCCGCGGUAAUACGUAGGGUGCAAGCGUUAUCCGGAAUUAUUGGGCGUAAAGGGCUCGUAGGCGGUUCGUCGCGUCCGGUGUGAAAGUCCAUCGCUUAACGGUGGAUCCGCGCCGGGUACGGGCGGGCUUGAGUGCGGUAGGGGAGACUGGAAUUCCCGGUGUAACGGUGGAAUGUGUAGAUAUCGGGAA
This 529-nucleotide ribosomal RNA is filed under the name Bifidobacterium breve. Its description in RNAcentral is "bacterial SSU rRNA". It matches the Rfam family "Bacterial small subunit ribosomal RNA", at positions 164 to 703 of the family's 1533-position model. The record is from RNAcentral. Lineage: Bacteria; Bacillati; Actinomycetota; Actinomycetes; Bifidobacteriales; Bifidobacteriaceae.